AGGACCUCAAUGAACUAAAAUAUAAAAUUGGAAUGAUACAGAGAGUAUUAGCAUGGCCACUGCACCAAGGUAAUAUUCAAGUUUAUCAAUCUGUCCAUAGUUUC
Octodon degus (degu) is the source of this 104-nucleotide small nuclear RNA. The record is from Ensembl. Lineage: Eukaryota; Metazoa; Chordata; Mammalia; Rodentia; Octodontidae.